CAGAGCGGGGAGGGACGGCAAGACGAUGACGCGUACUACUCGGCACUUGGAAGCUUGUAGUUUUCCGGAUCCAACAUGGCUGCUGCAGACGCGAAACUCUCUUUAGCUGUAGAUGGUGUUUUAAAUAGUUUAGAGCGAAAGUUGAAAGGCGAAAGUUGAAAGGCAAAAGGUCUCUCGGCGGCUCUGCUGUCCCCCGGCUCGUAGCGAGAUCACCGGCGUUACAGUAGCGGGGCUAUUAGCCGUACACACAACAACAUACAGUUUAAACGCUGUAUGUUGUUGUGGAGCAGAAAGUUUAGAAAAGACGUAUUGAUAAAUGUCUACGUGUAAUUCAGUUAAAAUACCCCGCACUGUGUCUCCAUGCUGCAGCUCCAGAUAUUUCAGCAUACUGGCUGUCUGUAACAUGUCGGCGAUGCAUCAGCAGGUGGCGUCUUUGAACGGCUCACACACGGUGCUCUCCCUCCGAGCCAACAGCAGAUUUGAGCCGUGACUCUUGUUGCCGAGCUCCAAAAACCUUCAGCGAGGAGAAAGCGAGAGCUGAAGUCGUGUCGUGUGAUCCAGCCACAACUUGAGUUCAGUUUAUUCUGCAGGUUUCAUCCACUGCUGAAACAUUUAGCUGAUUAAAGGGGAUCUGUUCUUCUUUUCUUUCAUAAAUAUAUCGUUACAAUGUCGGAUUUUCAAAUUAAAGGUGGCAAAAAGUUUCAAAUAAAGUUUAGUGGAGAGUAUGAACCUGAUAAAAAGCACAACAGGUCCUCUUUAAUGAAACAGGGCAAGAUAAAUGCACAUUCAUCAGUUUCUGCUUUGUAAAUGUGCCGUUUUUCAUCAUGAACAGAAAACCUUCAGACUGUUAGAUAAAACAUGUGAAGACAUUACCUCUGGGAAAUGAUGUCGGGCAUUUUUUCACUCAUUGCUAACAUUUUAUAGACUAAACAAUCCAUUUUAUAGAGACAGAAACAAGGAAACAAUAAUGGUAGUAAUCAUUAAUUGCUGUUUAAUUACAUGGACAUGGAUCUGUUCGAGGCAUUAACAGUUUGAAUCAUGUUAAACUCUUGCGAGUGACGAACUUUCUAAAGCUAGAGUCCAAAUAUAGUCUUGUUGUCAGACUGUUGUUGUUUGUAGAAACAGACACUAAAACUGCUGAAACCGGCCGCAUGAUGCUGUUUUUAGAGGCAGGUGCACAUGUGAACAUUGUUAUUAUUCGUCCUGAUCUUAUCGACCGCUAAGAACUUCUGAAUGUGGUUCAGUGGAAAAGUUGGAGGGUUAAAUACACACUACAGGUGAAAACAUGAAACUUCCCCACUUUGAUUAAGACAAUUCUCUUUUGUAUUAUAAGUUGCUUCAGCUCCAAAAAAAAAUCUAUUUCAAUAUUCAAAUGAGGCAUUGUCUUAAGUAUGUUGAGAAUAGAAAUCUGAACACAUUAUAUCAGAUGAAAGCAGGAGUGGACGCAGCGUUCAUGGAAUAAUCCCAAAGAUUGUUACCGUGCCAACAAAUUCCCAAAUUUGUCUUAUUUCUUCUAAUUUAGUUUUUUCUCGCCACAUUUUGACCUGAGAGCAUUUUGGGGGAUUUUGGAGGCUUCAUCCGCAAAGUUUGGAAGGAGUUUUCAGGCUCUUCUGUGCUUCAAUGUUUCAUUUUAUUAAUUUAUUGCAGGGAUUGUUGCUUUUUAAACAACUGCAUCAGAAUUCAAAUUAAAUUCUGUGGAAGUUUGUUUACAUUUUUUAGGAGGAGAAGAGUGUCGUUUGCUUUUUCUGUAUUCUCACAAAAUUCAAAAACCUCUGUGAACGAUCAGAGUCUAGCACGUUUUCCUCAAGUACGCAGAGAAAAGUAACAAUUUCAGAGGGAAUAUUUUGUCCUCAACGAUAAUUAUUUCCGAGCUGAUUUUUUAUUUCCGUUUUCCAUUGAGCGACUGGAUCCUGAAGUCUUCCGCUGUGUGCGAACAUGAUCAGCUGACCGCUUCUUUCAUAAGCCAUACUGUAUGUACAUAGAGUGUAAAUGUUGAUGUUCAUAGUUUUUCUAUAUGAUUUACUUGUAUGCAAUGUAAACUAUUGACAUUGAAUGUCAGUAAAGGGAAUGUACCACAAACACUCA
Long non-coding RNA from Centropristis striata (black sea bass), 2085 nucleotides. RefSeq lists it as uncharacterized. Lineage: Eukaryota; Metazoa; Chordata; Actinopteri; Perciformes; Serranidae. The record is from RefSeq and is a predicted model, not a curated record. The transcript is spliced from 2 exons.